Molecule: long non-coding RNA, 2296 nt
Filed under: Ananas comosus (pineapple)
Lineage: Eukaryota; Viridiplantae; Streptophyta; Magnoliopsida; Poales; Bromeliaceae
Description: long non-coding RNA (ACOM_LNC031631)
Source: RNAcentral
AAAUACCAUUUCUAGGGUUUAAAAACCGAUCUACAAAAAUGUCACGCCCCGAGCCCGCCUAUUUGGUCGGUUUCGGGCACGCCGACAGACCGCCGAACGGACAGGGUUUCCCCUGUACCGCGGACAGAGUCUCCCCUGUACAUUCAAGGCGUCGCAAUCAAUACAAUGUACGAAGUUCCAACCAGGAACACAUUUCAAUCAAAGAUUGCAUAAGGAAGUAUCAAAAACAUAAGCUACUUGCUAUUACAAGCAUUCACAUUAUUUAGAUACAUUUUACAUCACAAUUACAUAAUACAUUUAACUUCCAAAUACAAUCAUGCUUUUAUUACAAAUUAUUGCAAUCUUAUCCCUUUCAUUUUCUUACAUUCCUAAGUAAAGCCGACUCAGGAUACCGCUAUCUCUGGUCUCGGUGGUAGGGCGCUAACUACGGAGCUACGCCCUCGCCUCGCGCCGCCGCGCCGCUCACGUGUGAACCUGUAACACCCCAAAACAACGUGGGGUGAGAACCAACUCCAUAGUUCCCAGUGGGUACGGCCACCCAAGGGAAAAGCUCGACCAAUAGGCCCAAGGAGGCACUGCAAUCAUGUUAGUCCAAAAACAUCUAUAUAUAUAUCACCAUGUUAUUAUACAACUAACAGAUAACAUGCCUCACAAAAUGCGAUAUGCAAAACCUGUAACUCAUGCAAGUAGUUUACUUGAUUCUACUACAUAUUAUUAGUCAUUCUUUACAUGUAGCCGUUCUUUACUUAUUUAACUAUUCUCAUUCAUUAGCUAUUCUUUACAUCAUUUCCUUGUUACAUUAUACUCAUUGGCGGUUCUUUAUUCUUUGACAUUCUUGAUUUUUUGAUAUACUUUAGCAUUUGCCGUUCUUUCCUAAGAUUACUUUACCUUAGCCAACUAUGCUACUCGACUCGGUCUUGAGUCAAUCAAUCGCGGAUAGUCCGCGCUCUGUCUAGCCCGAGGUGAAGGAACUCUCUCACAUGCACCUCAGCUAACCACAGCCUACCGUACUCCUGUCCUAGCCGUCUGGCGGCGAACGCAUCGCACCUCACCCAACAACAGCCUAGGUCAUGACUUAGCCACCCGGCGGCGAAAUCGUCGCACACGCCACGUCGAUGGUUCAGUCAACAGGCGGUAUGAUCCACUAACUGGCUAACCAUCCGGCGGCGAAAUCGUCGCACACGCCACGACAAUGGUUCUAUAGCCCCUGGGCGGCGAAAUCGUCGCACACAACCCACACCCCUCUCGGUGUAUCCAUUUAGCUUUGGGAUUCCGGAAUCCAUUUCACAUCACAUAAGGGUUGGUCUUAUCCCUAUAGAAUUGACCUAUCUAGGUCCAAGCCUUUACUCAACCUAAGUUAUACUUUAGGUUUGCUGCCUCCAUACUCAUAGCCUAGGUUUAUUAACUCUAGGUUCAUUACCUUUGCCCACCUAGGUUCAUGUGAUUCUAGGUUCGUUAUCUUUAUCUUACCACCUAUGUUCUCUAACAUUAGGUUUAAUGCCACUUGAUGUCCAACUUAUGUUCUUUGACACUAGGUUCAUAUCAUCCAUGUUCAACCUAUGUCCAUGACUCUAGGUUUAAUGCCACUCGAUCUAAUGUAUAUAGAUUGUCCAUAUGCACAUUAUACUAGUUUUCCAAUGUCGAGUUCUCUAAUCAACCUAGAGUUAUCGACCCCAAGUUUAACAUGUACAUGUCAACAUGCAUAGUUCAUCCUACAACAUGCAUAGUUCAUCUAUCACACGCAAUAUGUCAUUUACUUAGCAUUCUUAUUUUAGCAUCCCUAAAACAUGCUUAUCAUACAUGAACUUAGCAUUAUCCAAAUGCAUGCUUAUCAUGUAAUCUUUAGUAUUACUCAAUGCAUUCAUCUAGCAUUAUUUACACUAAGUCAUCAUGCAUUCCCUUUAUCAUGUUCUUAUAAUGUUAACAUUCAUAUGCCCUUUAUCUUAUGCAUUCAAAGCAUUAAUCACAUGCAUUUCUCUAGCAUUUCUAUAAUAUGUUAACAUGCAUUAAUAUGAAAUCUCAUUUCUCUUAGACAUACAGGCGACCUGGUCGCUUCGGUAAGCACAACCCACCUCAUUUCGCAUUCCGAUUGCUUGUCGACACUUGCAAUCGGCCGCCCGCGGCACCCGGCACUCGGUUUGGCCCGAUCUCUUGCGCGACCACCCGAACGGCCUCCAAUCCACGAUCCGAAAAUUAAAGGUUUUCGGUUAUGUGCCACGAUGGUUCAAAUCCGUUUUUAUGGGUUUACGAUGUCGCCUCGGCCCUCCAGGCGGAAACAAAGCCUAAACGUCUGUUU